GGGGAUGUAGCUCAGCCGGAAGAGCGCCUGCUUCGCAUGCAGGAGGUCAGGGGUUCAAGUCCCCUCAUCUCCACCA
Molecule: transfer RNA, 76 nt
Filed under: Deltaproteobacteria bacterium
Lineage: Bacteria; Pseudomonadati; Myxococcota; Myxococcia
Description: tRNA-Ala
Rfam family: tRNA
About the family: Transfer RNA (tRNA) molecules are approximately 80 nucleotides in length. Their secondary structure includes four short double-helical elements and three loops (D, anti-codon, and T loops).
Source: RNAcentral